ACGGGUGAGUAACACGUGGGUAACCUGCCCAAGAGACUGGGAUAACACCUGGAAACAGAUGCUAAUACCGGAUAACAACACUAGACGCAUGUCUAGAGUUUAAAAGAUGGUUCUGCUAUCACUCUUGGAUGGACCUGCGGUGCAUUAGCUAGUUGGUAAGGUAACGGCUUACCAAGGCAAUGAUGCAUAGCCGAGUUGAGAGACUGAUCGGCCACAUUGGGACUGAGACACGGCCCAAACUCCUACGGGAGGCAGCAGUAGGGAAUCUUCCACAAUGGACGCAAGUCUGAUGGAGCAACGCCGCGUGAGUGAAGAAGGGUUUCGGCUCGUAAAGCUCUGUUGGUAGUGAAGAAAGAUAGAGGUAGUAACUGGCCUUUAUUUGACGGUAAUUACCUAGAAAGUCACGGCUAACUACGUGCCAGCAGCCGCGGUAAUACGUAGGUGGCAAGCGUUGUCCGGAUUUAUUGGGCGUAAAGCGAGUGCAGGCGGUUCAAUAAGUCUGAUGUGAAAGCCUUCGGCUCAACCGGAGAAUUGCAUCAGAAACUGUUGAACUCGAGUGCACAAGAGGAGAGUGGAACUCCAUGUGUAGCGGUGGAAUGCGUAGAUAUAUGGAAGAACACCAGUGGCGAAGGCGGCUCUCUGGUCUGCAACUGACGCUGAGGCUCGAAAGCAUGGGUAGCGAACAGGAUUAGAUACCCUGGUAGUCCAUGCCGUAAACGAUGAGUGCUAAGUGUUGGGAGGUUUCCGCCUCUCAGUGCUGCAGCUAACG
RNAcentral lists this ribosomal RNA (769 nucleotides) under uncultured bacterium. RNAcentral's name for it is "bacterial SSU rRNA". It matches the Rfam family "Bacterial small subunit ribosomal RNA", at positions 102 to 857 of the family's 1533-position model. The record is from RNAcentral.